ACCUCGAGUAACUUGUAAGCAACUUGAAUUAUUUACAGCCCUAAUGAUAGAAUUAUAAUUUCACACACGCAUAUACAUUAUUGACAGAGAAAUAGAUAUAUCAUAUGAUGAGAAAGUUCAAGUGCAAAAGGAGCACAAAGCAAAUGAAUUAAUGCAUAAGAGGUGUACAGGUUACCCCUUAUAACCCACCUAAAUGCCCAGAGUUCCACUACAAUCAACCUAUUUUACAUCCAAUGUAGUCAUGAAUAUCCAACUACAAGAAUCAUCAAUAAAAGCUCCUUGAUUACUGGAUCUUCGUCACAGCAACUACAGGAUGAGGCACGUCCCUGUUCUCCAAGAUUCCGACACAAAACCAACAAGAGAAAAGUGAGAUAGCUGUAAUAAAAUGGAUCAAAUUCCUCCAAUUUCUACAUGUAAAAUCCAACUUAUAUUUGAAUGCAGGGUCAGGCCGGCCUUCCCAAUAGGUAUCAUAAAUGCAUAAAGAACUAUAGAAACAUGUAUAUCAGUGACUACUUUGUUGUCAGCUUUCUUAAUUUGUUCAAAUACAUUAUAGAAUGAGAAACACUAACAUUCCACAUCAUGAAUGACUACGUCGUGAUAGCUUUCAUUUUGGCUGUGAUAAGCCAUAAAAUUUUUGUAUUAAAGUUACAACUUACAAUAAUGUGGCUUCCAAUCACACUUUUUCAAGCAAUCUUCUUGCUUGACUUGUACAAUUCAGUUACUGCUUUUAAUGUUAAAUAUCUCCUCAAUAAUAUUUAAUGAUGGGAUGGCUUCUCUCUCUCUCUCUCUAUUUGCUCUUCUUAACAUUCCUAAAUAAAUUGGAGUACAUAUCCUGUGACGUUCUUUCAGCAUAAUGCACAAAUUGUUUAUCCUUUUCCUCUCAUAAAUCCUAGGUAAUUUAUUCUCAUUAUUUUGAUAAUGAAUUAUUAUAUAAUUUAUCUACUAGCAGUUUCACUUUUCACAGCUAUUAUAGUACAGUCAUUCAGUUUCCAAUUUGACCAACAGACCCAUAAACCACUAAGUUCAAGGAUAGUAACAGUUUCCAGUAUUUUGCAUCUUUGCAUUGUCAUCAACACUCACAUACCAUGCAAUGCAAACGAUAACUAGUUCCUUAUUCAAUCAUGGAAAAACCAUUUGAAGAUCAACAAAUUCAACCACUUUAACAACCUGAAACACCUAUCUGAUCAACUAAUUGGCACUCUCACAAUUUUUUACAGUAACCACACUUCUCCAUGUUUAAGCAAAAAUUUGCAUUCAUCUUAGCAGAACUUGCCCCUUUAAAGAUAAUAUGCAUUAUUUAAACCUUUCAACAGACUCAUUGAAUGGUGAUAAGCAUUACACCUAUUUUUUGUCUGAGGUGGUCCUACACUACCCUCUGGACAUGUGUCUACCUUUAUAAUCUCUUCUGCUAAGCCUUUUUAUGUCACCUGCAGUGUAAUGUGUAUAGCUACAUUACACUGUUCAACCUUAUGGCAUCCUUAAGAUUAUACAUGUCAUACUCUAGUUUGAACAAUCACACAAACACCCCCAGAAUAGAUAUUCUAGUAUGCAAUUAAUUUUUUUGCUCAACGGUGUUACUGUUUGUUUUGCCAUUCUAGUAUUAGCUGAGCAUAUUAUGAAUCCGAGCUUGCAAAAUUUGGGAAGCUUUUAUAGUCCUAAAAGUGCAUAUACUCAAAUUGAGUAUCUAACUCAGAUACACAACCAUGGUCAACUGUCAUGAAAGCUGACAGCACUAAUAUUAUUAAAAAAAGCAAACCAAUAUUUUGCAAACUGAAGAGUUUAUGCUCUUAUUAAAUUCAAUGUCAAACCUGAACUCAAAAAUUAUCAACUUGAUGGAUAAACAAUUUAUUUGUCAUGAAAUUUGUUCUCAUUACAUCAGGUUUUCUAGAAACAUCUCAUUCGUUUUCCUAUUGCCUAACUUUCUGAUAAAAGAGAUAUCUACAUGAGAAUUAUCCCUUUAUGAAACAACAAGAAUAAGCUUCCUCAGGAAGAGGGGUGAAAAUUUACCUGAGGCAACCUAAAAAAUACAAGCAAGA
This 2036-nucleotide unclassified non-coding RNA is filed under the name Hevea brasiliensis (rubber tree). Lineage: Eukaryota; Viridiplantae; Streptophyta; Magnoliopsida; Malpighiales; Euphorbiaceae. The record is from RNAcentral.